AAUAGGGGUUAAUUACAUACAGGUAAGCCACAGAUAUAGUAAAUUACAAAUAUAUUUCUAUAAAAUUUAAUUUUUAUAAGUUAUUCCUACAAAAGUCAUAAUAAUUUUUAAGAUAUGUCCUUAUAACAAUAGAUUAAAUACUUUAUCCUAGUUAAUUUUUGAUAUUUUUACCCUUUUUAUAUUAUAUUUUUAUAAUUUUUAGAGUAAUAUAUUUGUAAUGGCAAAANAUGCGAGUACACUUACAUACCAACACAUUAAAUUACUAAUAAUUAAUUAGAUAAUCAAUUAUAAAUAAUAAUUACUUUAUUAUUAAAGUUAAAUUUACAUUUUAAUUAAUUUUUGUUCCCACUUGAGAAGAAACUUGUUUUAGAAAAAAUGAUGAGACAACAGUUACAAAUUUACACCAGGAUAUGCUUGUUUAUUUCAGAAAUUCGAGAAUUACUGUUUUUUUAAUUAAUUUUUGUUCCCACUUGAGAAGAAACUUAUUUCAGAGAAAAAAAUGAAACAACAGUUACAAAUUUAUAUCAGGAUAUGCUUGUUUAUUUCAGAAAUUCGAGAAUUACUGUUUUUGGGUAUUAAAAAUUAUAUUUGAAAACAAAGAAGGAAACAAAGACUUAUUCUCCCCUUUAAUAUAUUUUGUUAUUCUUCUUAAUUCUAACAAAAUGUCUCGGAAAAAUAAAUAAAUAAAAAAAAAACGUCAAUUGAAAGCAAGCCAAGUAGUUCCAAACAUCUGAAUAAUUAGCUUCGCACAUGAAAACCCACUUGUAAGAGUACAUUGCUUCACAGACUUAGCUCUCAGGAAGAUUGAACAGUGAAUCAAUCUUCCAUAUAGAUUGAGAAUCCCCUGGCACAAGAAGCAGAAAUAUUUAACUGAACAAUGGCUACUUUUUUUCACAAUAUUAACNUGAUAAGAGCAAUCCUCCGCCUUUCUCCGCGGACUAAUGAAGUAAUCAUCCGUCUCUGAAUCACUGGAUUGAAGUAUCAAUCGCCUCUUCCUCUCCUUCUUCACAUCAACAGAUUUACGCAAAGUUGCAGAAUCACAAGUUCCCUUCCCCUUCCUUCCAAAAUCGCCUCCUUUCUCCACAAACGACAUCAUAAACCCCAAUCCACCCAAUCCCAACCGAACAAAUCACGCCAAAUCGAUCGAAACACAACAAACCAAUCGAAUCAAACCACGAAAACACCCAACAAAUCCGUCCAUCCUACAUUAAACAAAAAAAAAUAUCCAAGAAAAAAAACCAAUUAAAACCCGAAAUCGGGAUCGAACAAGGAACUUUAAUCGGGACAAAAGCUACCUCUCCGAGGAGAUCACGCUCACGAGAUCAUCCGAUCGAUGCCGAAGCGAUCGAAGAGAUCAACGAAUCAAAGAUGCGUAGAACAAAUUAGGGUUAGAGAAUUAGGAAGAGAGAGAGAUGGGGAGAGACGCGAUUUUAUUUUCUUAUUUUCUUUUUUCCUUUUUCCGUCCUUUGGGAAGAGCGUUUAUAUACUUUGGUAUCGCGACCGUUCUCUCCCGGAAAAACACACGGUGUAACAGUUACAUGUCACGGUUUCUCAUACUGACAUGUGGGCCCCUUUGUCGUGGGUCCACGUGUCAUCCUAAUCGGAUUCGGUUUACGGUUCUGUUUAUACGGUGACGUUAAUUUCUUUUCUUUAUUUUCGGGUUCCCUCCAAAUUCUCUGUUGUGUUAUAAAGAGAUUGGGAUCUUUGGGACCGCAUACUCGCAAAGGUGUUAACGGGUUGGAUUAUAUUCAGAUCCGUAAAAGAUCCUACCAAUAAAAAAAUAGGGGUUAAUUACAUACAGGUAAGCCACAGAUAUAGUAAAUUACAAAUAUAUUUCUAUAAAAUUUAAUUUUUAUAAGUUAUUCCUACAAAAGUCAUAAUAAUUUUUAAGAUAUGUCCUUAUAACAAUAGAUUAAAUACUUUAUCCUAGUUAAUUUUUGAUAUUUUUACCCUUUUUAUAUUAUAUUUUUAUAAUUUUUAGAGUAAUAUAUUUGUAAUGGCAAAAUUGAUAAUAUAAACAGUUUUCUAAUGGCUCUCUAACGGUAACAAAACAGAGGAAUAUAUCUGAAAAUAUUAGAACUUUUGCAACUAUAAUUUAUGAAAGUUGAACUUUAUAGGUAUAUAUUUGUAAUUCAUUAUGUUUGCAAAGACUUGUAUAUAAUUAAUCCAAUAUAUAUAUAUAGAGAGAGAGAGAGGGGGUUGGUAUGCAGUAAAAUCAAAUAUACAGUAAAAUAUAUGAUUUUAAAAUUCGUGCUAUUUACAUGAUAAAUUAUAUAAAAAGGGGAAAAAAAAAUAA
Molecule: long non-coding RNA, 2296 nt
Filed under: Ananas comosus (pineapple)
Lineage: Eukaryota; Viridiplantae; Streptophyta; Magnoliopsida; Poales; Bromeliaceae
Description: long non-coding RNA (ACOM_LNC014536)
Source: RNAcentral